Long non-coding RNA from Centropristis striata (black sea bass), 1061 nucleotides. RefSeq lists it as uncharacterized. The record is from RefSeq and is a predicted model, not a curated record. The transcript is spliced from 3 exons. Lineage: Eukaryota; Metazoa; Chordata; Actinopteri; Perciformes; Serranidae.
CGGCAACUUCGAUGGGAUCAGAGCAGUCGGCGUAGAAAUCUCGUCGGGAACAUUGCAAAGACACUGGAAAAUAAUGUGGUUCCUGUUUUUUUUUUUUUUGCUCGGACUGGCUCGGAUGCCCGUUUGCAGGGCCUUUUGUGUGUGGUUGACCCUGACCUCUGACCUCCCUGUGGAGGAGGGAAGGUGAGAGGAGGAAAUUCAACAAAACGGAUCAAUAAAACUUCACAGAAACUGGGCAGUGAUAACAGAGAUGCGGAACCAUUUGACCAGAUUCUUGGUGCUCUGAAGUUUGGGAUGAAGACAAUACUCCUGCCCUUUGAACCGAGCCACGUUCUCCAUCGUCACACUGAGAGGACGAGCAAAGAAGAGACAAAACAACAACAAAAGACAGAAAUGUUUUAAAAAAACAAACAUGUUAUGAAUUAAAUAUGAUAUAUAAAAAUUAGGAAUCUUGCUCACUCCCAUGGUUUUUAUAUUGAAGUCUCAGUGGUUCCUGUUACUUCAUGAUCCUCUAAAGUUUUACAACUCAACAUGAUAAUAACAUUAGUGAAGAAAACGUACAGAUUUAACUUUUUUUUGUUAUGAAAUACACUGUAUGAUGUGUUUUACAUCAAUAUAUGCAUUUACGUCGUCAUACUAUAUAGUUAUUAAUCUUACAUAUAUCCUAUGUUUGAGGAAACAGUACCACUUUUGUCCACGUGGGGGCGCCACAAUCAACACAAAAUGAAAAUGCCUGUAGUUGCUUUAAAUAAAUCUUUGACAUUUAGACUUCAGAAGAAUAAUUUGGCUAGAAAAUAAUUUAAUUAGACUGCACAACAUGUUGGAGACACAGUUUAAAAGACGGUUGAGUCCAACUACAGGCGCCAAUUGAAAGUGAAUGUAUUGUAUGAAUUUCAAAAGAACAAAAUCAAGUAAAAAAGCUGAUUUGCGGGUAUUUAAAACUUUCUGAAAGCCAGUCUGAGUUACUUGAAUAGAGACUAUCAAGUUGUAAAACGUUUGACAUGUUUUUGCCCCAAAUUUUAGCUGCUAUUCUGCACCGGCCUCAAUGAGAUUUCUGCAGU